GACGAACGCUGGCGGCGUGCUUAACACAUGCAAGUCGAACGGAAAGGCCCUGCUUUUGUGGGGGGCUCGAGUGGCGAACGGGUGAGUAACACGUGAGUAACCUGCCCUUGACUGUGGGAUAACUUCAGGAAACUGGGGCUAAUACCGGAUAGGAGCUCCUGCUGCAUGGUGGGGGUUGGAAAGUUUCGGCGGUUGGGGAUGGACUCGCGGCUUAUCAGCUUGUUGGUGGGGUAGUGGCUUACCAAGGCUUUGACGGGUAGCCGGCCUGAGAGGGUGACCGGCCACAUUGGGACUGAGAUACGGCCCAGACUCCUACGGGAGGCAGCAGUGGGGAAUAUUGCACAAUGGGCGGAAGCCUGAUGCAGCAACGCCGCGUGCGGGAUGACGGCCUUCGGGUUGUAAACCGCUUUCGCCUGUGACGAAGCGUGAGUGACGGUAAUGGGUAAAGAAGCACCGGCUAACUACGUG
This 468-nucleotide ribosomal RNA is filed under the name uncultured bacterium. RNAcentral describes it as "partial 16S ribosomal RNA". It matches the Rfam family "Bacterial small subunit ribosomal RNA", at positions 28 to 507 of the family's 1533-position model. The record is from RNAcentral.